UAUGUAGGGUGUUAGCGUUAAUCGGAAUUACUGGGCGUAAAGCGUGCGCAGGCGGUUAUAUAAGACAGAUGUGAAAUCACCGGGCUCAACCUGGGAACUGCAUUUGUGACUGUAUAGCUAGAGUACGGCAGAGGGGGAUGGAAUUCCGCGUGUAGCAGUGAAAUGCGUAGAUAUGCGGAGGAACACCGAUGGCGAAGGCAAUCCCCUGGGCCUGUACUGACGCUCAUGAACGAAGGCGUGGGGGGCAAACAGGAUUAGAUACCAGCGUAGUCC
This 273-nucleotide ribosomal RNA is filed under the name uncultured bacterium. RNAcentral describes it as "partial 16S ribosomal RNA". It matches the Rfam family "Bacterial small subunit ribosomal RNA", at positions 524 to 796 of the family's 1533-position model. The record is from RNAcentral.